This 455-nucleotide ribosomal RNA is filed under the name uncultured bacterium. RNAcentral's name for it is "bacterial SSU rRNA". It matches the Rfam family "Bacterial small subunit ribosomal RNA", at positions 340 to 786 of the family's 1533-position model. The record is from RNAcentral.
UACGGGAGGCAGCAGUGGGGAAUAUUGCACAAUGGGCGCAAGCCUGAUGCAGCCAUGCCGCGUGUAUGAAAAAGGCCUUCGGGUUGUAAAGUACUUUCAGUCGUGAGGAAGGUGUUAAGGUUAAUAACCUUAGCAAUUGACGUUAGCGACAGAAGAAGCACCGGCUAACUCCGUGCCAGCAGCCGCGGUAAUACGGAGGGUGCGAGCGUUAAUCGGAAUUACUGGGCGUAAAGGGCACGCAGGCGGUUAAUUAAGUUGGAUGUGAAAUCCCCGGGCUUAACCUGGGAAUGGCAUUCAAGACUGGUUAGCUAGAGUCUUGUAGAGGGGGUUAGAAUUCCAUGUGUAGCGGUGAAAUGCGUAGAGAUGUGGAGGAAUACCGGUGGCGAAGGCGGCCCCUGGACAAAGACUGACGCUCAUGUGCGAAAGCGUGGGGAGCAAACGAGGGAUUAAAUACC